Molecule: ribosomal RNA, 232 nt
Filed under: uncultured Florenciella
Lineage: Eukaryota; Dictyochophyceae; Florenciellales
Description: partial Bacterial small subunit ribosomal RNA
Rfam family: Bacterial small subunit ribosomal RNA
Source: RNAcentral
GCUUAACACAUGCAAGUCGAGCGCCCUGCUUGCAGGGAGCGGCAGACGGGUGAGUAACGCGUGGGAACGUGCCUAUUGGUUCGGAAUAGCCCUGGGAAACUGGGUGUAAUACCGAAUGUGCCCUUCGGGGGAAAGAUUUAUCGCCAAUAGAUCGGCCCGCGUUAGAUUAGCUAGUUGGUGGGGUAAAAGCCUACCAAGGCUACGAUCUAUAGCUGGUCUGAGAGGAUGAUCA